CCCCUGGUGGUCUAGUGGUUGGGAUGCAGUGCUCUCACUACCACGGCCCGGGUUCAAUUCCCAGUCAGGGGA
Molecule: transfer RNA, 72 nt
Filed under: Manacus vitellinus (golden-collared manakin)
Lineage: Eukaryota; Metazoa; Chordata; Aves; Passeriformes; Pipridae
Rfam family: tRNA
About the family: Transfer RNA (tRNA) molecules are approximately 80 nucleotides in length. Their secondary structure includes four short double-helical elements and three loops (D, anti-codon, and T loops).
Source: Rfam by way of RNAcentral